GUCGACUGUGCUCAGCCACCAGCAAGAACUUGGCAGAGGAAAUUCGAUGAUGAAGGCAAGAAGGUUGCUAAGUUUAGCAUGACCAUGAAUGAUCUCAUGACAAUGGUGCCCUUUAUUGCCAAAAUGCUUCGACUAUACGUCCAAGAAAGCGCGAAAGGCCAAGCUUCGGUCUAUGAUCCUUUCAGGAAAUGGAUGGACAACUGCUACCGCGGGGUACCCCUCGGCGCACUAGGUGCAGGAAGCAUAGGGAGAAGCUACAGAGGGUACUUCCAGCAUUUCCAAAUAUUCCCCAGGAUGUUUGAAGAGAAGCCUAUCCUGGCCAACCAGUUCUCCGCAUUCGUUUCGCGUCCCGGCGGGAAGAGCUACUCCACGGUGCUGUCGGCACCGAAGGCCGAUGUCCUGAAGGGAAUUGAUAAAGCCGGUAUCGGAUCUUGGGACUGGAAACUGAGAGAGAAGAAUUGCACUUACCAUGGCUUGUUCCCAAGAUCCUGGACUGUCUAUGAUGGUGAGCCUGACCUUGAAAUCAAGAUCACCUGCCGUCAGAUAUCACCCUUCAUCCCUCACAACUACAAAGAAAGCAGCUUCCCGGUUGCGGUUUUCACUUUUACGGUACAAAAUUCAGGGAGCACACCCGCAGAUGUCACAUUGCUCUUCACAUGGGCAAAUUCCGUGGGUGGAAAAUCGGAACUGACCGGGAAUCACACCAACUCCAGGAUGAAAGCGCGAGACGGCGUCCAUGGCGUCCUCCUCCACCACAGGACAGCGGACGGGCACCCUCCGGUGACGUUCGCGAUUGCGUCUCAGGAGACCGGCGGUGUCCGCGUCACCUGCUGCCCGUCCUUCGCGAUGGGCCCGUCCGUUCCCGGCGGCGAGCAGUUCACGGCCAAGGACAUGUGGGAGGAGGCCAAGAACCGCGGCGCCUUCGGCGGGGCGCCCAGAGCGUCGGCGUCGUCGAGGCCUGGAUCGUCCAUCGGGGCGGCGGUCGCGGCGACGACGACGGUGCCGGCGGGAGGCACGCGUGCGGUGUCGUUCGCGCUCUCGUGGUCGUGUCCCGAGGUGAAGUUCCCCGCCGGGAGAACCUACCACCGGAGGUACACCAAGUUCCUCGGCCUGGAUAGGGACGCGGCCGCUGAACAAUUGGCCCACGACGCCCUUCUCGAACACAUGAAGUGGGAGUCUCUGAUCGAGGAGUGGCAGAGGCCUGUUCUGCAUGACAAGAGGCUGCCUGAAUGGUACCCGGUUGCGCUGUUCAACGAGCUUUACUAUCUCAACGCUGGAGGCACAAUUUGGACAGAUGGGCUGCCUCCGAAGAAGACCAGCUUUGCUUCCUCAAACUCAAAGCACGGGUCGACGACGGAGUCCUUCUCUCUAGACGGGUUCCGUCCAGGUGAUCCUGCAGCGGACGGCAUCCUGCGCGCAAUGGCGCGGCGGAGGAGCGGCUGGAAGCAUCGUCAGCGUUCGGCACGGCGCUGCUCGGCGACGGCGAGGAGAGCGUGGGGCGGUUCCUGUACCUGGAGGGGAUGGAGUACCACCUGUGGAACACGUACGACGUCCACUUCUACGCCUCCUUCGCGCUGCUCUCCCUCUUCCCGGAGAUCGAGCUGGGCCUCCAGCGCGACUUCGCCAGGGCCGUCCUCCACCACGACCCGCGCCCCAUGCGCACCCUCGACGGCGCCACCGUCCCGCGCAAGGUCCUCGGCGCCGUGCCGCACGACGUCGGCCUGCGCGACCCCUGGUUCCAGCUCAACGCCUACAUGAUCCACGACCCGGCGCGCUGGAAGGACCUCAACCCCAAGUUCGUCCUCCAGGUCUACCGCGACGUCGCGGCCACCGGGGACGCCGCGUUCGCGGCCGCCGUGUGGCCCGCGGUUUACCUGGCCAUGGCGUACAUGCACCAGUUCGACCGCGACGGGGACGGCAUGGUGGAGAACGAGGGCCGCCCCGACCAGACCUACGACUUCUGGUCCGUCUCCGGCGUCAGCGCCUACACCGGCGGCCUCUGGGUCGCGGCCCUCCAGGCGGCCGCCGCCAUGGCGCGCGUCGUCGGCGACCGCGGCUCCGAGGGGUACUUCCUCGAGCGGUACGGGCGGGCGCGGCGCGUGUACGACGGCGAGCUCUGGAACGGCGCCUACUUCGACUACGAUAACAGCGGCAGCACGAACAGCAAGUCCAUCAUGGCCGACCAGCUCGCCGGGCAGUGGUACGCGCGCGCGUGCGGGCUGGAGCCGAUCAUCGAGGAGGAGAAGGCACGCAGCGCGCUGGCGACGGUGCUGGACUACAACGUGAUGCGGGUGCAGGGCGGCACGGUGGGCGCCGUGAACGGGAUGCGGCCGGACGGCGCCGUGGACGCGUCCUCGAUACAAUCCAGGGAGGUGUGGCCCGGGGUCACCUACGCCGUGGCCGCCGCCAUGGUCCACGAGGGCAUGACGGAGGCGGCGUUCCGGACGGCGAAGGGCGCGCACGACGCCGGGUGGGACAGGGACGGGUUCGGGUACGCGUUCCAGAUGCCGGAGGCGUGGACGGCCGACGGCGGCAGCGGGUACCGGUCGCUACACUACAUGCGGCCCCUCUGCAUCUGGGCGAUGCAGUGGGCGCUGUCGCCGCCGGAGCUCCACAUGGACGUCAGGGUGUUGCCGGGUUCGGUGUCCGCCGUGGCGUCGCCGGCAGAGGUGGUCCUGGCUCGGGAGAAGUUCGAGGAGGUGGCGAGCAUGCUGAGGCUGCCGGAGGAAGAACAGCACAAGGGAUAUCUCAGAGCUCUGUACCAAAUUCUCCGGCAGACGCUGCUCCCGGCAUCCUGAUUCUCUUACGGAUCUGCUAAUUUACAUGCGGAUGAAAACAAUUCGCCUUCAUCCGUUUUCUAUGCCCUAAGAUCUGUGCGUGGAGAUUCGUGUGUGUGACCCGUUAUUUGUCUCGUUUUUCUUAUCGGGUCCGUGUGGUUGACCCGUUAUUUUUUCCAUCGCAACCCGCGUGUCUGUGUGGUUGACACUGUCGCCCUCCUCCCAGCCGAACACGCAACCCCGAACAGAGUCGAGCGAGAGAGAGAUAGCCAUGGCGAUUUGGAGCUCCGCCUCACCGCUCGAUCCUUUUUGUUGUUCUUGUGAUCUGUUAGGUUAUAGAUUAAAGUAUGGGGAGACUCAUGAAGGCUUUUGAUAAGGGCACUUCUGCUGCUUGUGUUCAAGAUUAUGAUGAUUCAGAUGGGGAUCCUUUUGUCCCCAAUGAUUUUGCUGAGGAUGAUCCUUUUCAAGAUUCGGAGGAACGUCAAAUGGAUGAUCAUGAUUUCGAGAAAGUCUUAGGCUAUGCUUUUUAGCUGCUUUUUUCUAGUCUGGCUCUGAUAAAGAUGGGGAUUGUUUUCUGCUACUAGAAAGCCAUAUGUUAAGGAAAUCAACUUCAUCUUCAUUGAGAUUUGUUCAGGCAGGAGAGAGACGACAUGAGGUGAUGAAUGCACAGGAGACGCGC
Molecule: ribosomal RNA, 3456 nt
Filed under: Triticum aestivum (bread wheat)
Lineage: Eukaryota; Viridiplantae; Streptophyta; Magnoliopsida; Poales; Poaceae
Description: partial small subunit ribosomal RNA
Source: RNAcentral